This is a long non-coding RNA of Bubalus bubalis (water buffalo), 1065 nucleotides long. RefSeq lists it as uncharacterized. Lineage: Eukaryota; Metazoa; Chordata; Mammalia; Artiodactyla; Bovidae. The transcript is spliced from 2 exons. The record is from RefSeq and is a predicted model, not a curated record.
CAUCAGGUUCUUCCGUCCAUGGGAUUUUCAAGGCAAGAGUACCAGAGUGGGGUGCCAUUGCCUUCUCCGAGAUGCAGCAGAGAGACCCAGAAAGAGCUGCUGGUGAGACAGGUGAACAAUGUGGAAAGUGAUGACCCAGAUGGCAAAUGAAGAGAAGAUGUGAAGAGGCAGAGAUGGGCUCUGUCAGAUGAAGCUGAGCGAGAUGAGCAGUGAGGUGGAGGAUCUGGUCAGAUGGCGACUCAGGGUGCAGAGUGCAGGAAAUGGGGCCGAGCCUGACUGCAGUGGGCAGGGCAGAGAGGAGACAGGCAACCCUUUAGAGGAGUUCUGAUAAUGGGGGAGAAAGAAAAGCAGGAGGUGGGUGGGAGAACAAGGCAUAAACCAUGAUUCCAUUUAGCCUCACGAGUACUGAUUUGUGAAGAUAAAAGUUGCAUAGCUGCAUGCCACUUUGCACAGAUUACAGCUGUAUCACCUGUGGACGGUGGGACCCUACCUGACUGGUAUUCUGUACCUGGUACAGUGCCCAGCACCCUUCCAAAUUCAGGCAGCCUCAGUCAGCACUUCCUGUUGAGCCAUGGAUUCAAUGAUGAUAACACAGGUUCUUUCUACUGUUCUGCUGGAGCAGCGAGGCUAACACCACCUGCUGGACCCACUGUGAACGGAGAGCUUAUUACACCAAACAGUCAAGGUCAAUUUGUUAUAGGGUUCACAGAGAACUCUGGAUGCCUUGAGGUCUACAUUUAGGUCAGCGAUUUGCCCUGUGCUUAGCACAGAAGCCACAUCGCAUACACUCUAUGAACACUGGAUGUGAUGGCUAUUUAACACUGUCACAUGGUGGUCUUGCAGGUUGUUCAGACAGUGGCUUCCAAGGUUUCUCAUCACAAGAAAAAAACUAUCUCCCUUUUUAUUUUCUGUGUCUAUGUGAGAUGAUGGAUGUUUAAUAAACUUAUUGUGAUCAUCAUUUCAUAAUAUAAGGAAGUCAAAUCACUAUGCGGGCCACCUGAAAUGAAUACAUGGCUGUACAUCAAUUUUAUCUCAAUAAAGCUUAAUGUUGAAGGAAUAAAAGGA